Molecule: ribosomal RNA, 253 nt
Filed under: uncultured bacterium
Lineage: Bacteria
Description: partial 16S ribosomal RNA
Rfam family: Bacterial small subunit ribosomal RNA
Source: RNAcentral
UGCGGAGGGUGCAAGCGUUAUCCGGAUUCACUGGGUUUAAAGGGUGCGUAGGUGGAUUGGUAAGUCAGUGGUGAAAUCUCCGAGCUUAACUCGGAAACUGCCAUUGAUACUAUUAGUCGUGAAUACCGUGGAGGUCAGUAGAAUAUGUCAUGUAGCGGUGAAAUGCUUAGAUAUGACAUAGAAUACCAAUUGCGAAGGCAGCUGGCUACACGAGCAUUGACACUCAGGCACGAAAGCGUGGGGAUCAAACAGG